Molecule: ribosomal RNA, 2513 nt
Filed under: Klebsiella pneumoniae
Lineage: Bacteria; Pseudomonadati; Pseudomonadota; Gammaproteobacteria; Enterobacterales; Enterobacteriaceae
Description: partial 23S ribosomal RNA
Rfam family: Bacterial large subunit ribosomal RNA
Source: RNAcentral
UGUGAACUCGAAGAGUAGGGCGGGACACGUGGUAUCCUGUCUGAAUAUGGGGGGACCAUCCUCCAAGGCUAAAUACUCCUGACUGACCGAUAGUGAACCAGUACCGUGAGGGAAAGGCGAAAAGAACCCCGGCGAGGGGAGUGAAAAAGAACCUGAAACCGUGUACGUACAAGCAGUGGGAGCACCUUCGGGUGUGACUGCGUACCUUUUGUAUAAUGGGUCAGCGACUUAUAUUCUGUAGCAAGGUUAACCGUAUAGGGGAGCCGCAGGGAAACCGAGUCUUAACUGGGCGUUAAGUUGCAGGGUAUAGACCCGAAACCCGGUGAUCUAGCCAUGGGCAGGUUGAAGGUUGGGUAACACUAACUGGAGGACCGAACCGACUAAUGUUGAAAAAUUAGCGGAUGACUUGUGGCUGGGGGUGAAAGGCCAAUCAAACCGGGAGAUAGCUGGUUCUCCCCGAAAGCUAUUUAGGUAGCGCCUCGUGAACUCAUCUUCGGGGGUAGAGCACUGUUUCGGCUAGGGGGUCAUCCCGACUUACCAACCCGAUGCAAACUACGAAUACCGAAGAAUGUUAUCACGGGAGACACACGGCGGGUGCUAACGUCCGUCGUGAAGAGGGAAACAACCCAGACCGCCAGCUAAGGUCCCAAAGUCAUGGUUAAGUGGGAAACGAUGUGGGAAGGCACAGACAGCCAGGAUGUUGGCUUAGAAGCAGCCAUCAUUUAAAGAAAGCGUAAUAGCUCACUGGUCGAGUCGGCCUGCGCGGAAGAUGUAACGGGGCUAAACCAUGCACCGAAGCUGCGGCAGCGACACUAUGUGUUGUUGGGUAGGGGAGCGUUCUGUAAGCCUGCGAAGGUGUGCUGUGAGGCAUGCUGGAGGUAUCAGAAGUGCGAAUGCUGACAUAAGUAACGAUAAAGCGGGUGAAAAGCCCGCUCGCCGGAAGACCAAGGGUUCCUGUCCAACGUUAAUCGGGGCAGGGUGAGUCGACCCCUAAGGCGAGGCCGAAAGGCGUAGUCGAUGGGAAACAGGUUAAUAUUCCUGUACUUGGUGUUACUGCGAAGGGGGGACGGAGAAGGCUAUGUUAGCCGGGCGACGGUUGUCCCGGUUUAAGCAUGUAGGCUGGUNNNNNNNNNNNNNNNNNNNNNNNNNNNNNNNNNNNNNNNNNNNNNNNNNNNNNNNNNNNNNNNNNNNNNNNNNNNNNNNNNNNNNNNNNNNNNUAAAUCAAGGCUGAGGUGUGAUGACGAGGCACUACGGUGCUGAAGUAACAAAUGCCCUGCUUCCAGGAAAAGCCUCUAAGCAUCAGGUAACAUCAAAUCGUACCCCAAACCGACACAGGUGGUCAGGUAGAGAAUACCAAGGCGCUUGAGAGAACUCGGGUGAAGGAACUAGGCAAAAUGGUGCCGUAACUUCGGGAGAAGGCACGCUGGUGUGUAGGUGAAGUCCCUGCGGAUGGAGCUGAGACCAGUCGAAGAUACCAGCUGGCUGCAACUGUUUAUUAAAAACACAGCACUGUGCAAACACGAAAGUGGACGUAUACGGUGUGACGCCUGCCCGGUGCCGGAAGGUUAAUUGAUGGGGUUAUCCGUAAGGAGAAGCUCUUGAUCGAAGCCCCGGUAAACGGCGGCCGUAACUAUAACGGUCCUAAGGUAGCGAAAUUCCUUGUCGGGUAAGUUCCGACCUGCACGAAUGGCGUAAUGAUGGCCAGGCUGUCUCCACCCGAGACUCAGUGAAAUUGAACUCGCUGUGAAGAUGCAGUGUACCCGCGGCAAGACGGAAAGACCCCGUGAACCUUUACUAUAGCUUGACACUGAACAUUGAGCCUUGAUGUGUAGGAUAGGUGGGAGGCUUUGAAGCGUGGACGCCAGUCUGCGUGGAGCCAACCUUGAAAUACCACCCUUUAAUGUUUGAUGUUCUAACGUUGGCCCCUGACCGGGGUUGCGGACAGUGUCUGGUGGGUAGUUUGACUGGGGCGGUCUCCUCCCAAAGCGUAACGGAGGAGCACGAAGGUUAGCUAAUCCUGGUCGGACAUCAGGAGGUUAGUGCAAUGGCAUAAGCUAGCUUGACUGCGAGCGUGACGGCGCGAGCAGGUGCGAAAGCAGGUCAUAGUGAUCCGGUGGUUCUGAAUGGAAGGGCCAUCGCUCAACGGAUAAAAGGUACUCCGGGGAUAACAGGCUGAUACCGCCCAAGAGUUCAUAUCGACGGCGGUGUUUGGCACCUCGAUGUCGGCUCAUCACAUCCUGGGGCUGAAGUAGGUCCCAAGGGUAUGGCUGUUCGCCAUUUAAAGUGGUACGCGAGCUGGGUUUAGAACGUCGUGAGACAGUUCGGUCCCUAUCUGCCGUGGGCGCUGGAGAAUUGAGGGGGGCUGCUCCUAGUACGAGAGGACCGGAGUGGACGCAUCACUGGUGUUCGGGUUGUCAUGCCAAUGGCACUGCCCGGUAGCUAAAUGCGGAAGAGAUAAGUGCUGAAAGCAUCUAAGCACGAAACUUGCCCCGAGAUGAGUUCUCCCUGAGACU